RNAcentral lists this ribosomal RNA (501 nucleotides) under uncultured bacterium. Its description in RNAcentral is "bacterial SSU rRNA". It matches the Rfam family "Bacterial small subunit ribosomal RNA", at positions 30 to 518 of the family's 1533-position model. The record is from RNAcentral.
UAAACGCUGGCGGCGUGCUUAACACAUGCAAGUCGAACGGAGUAUCCUCCCGAGACCAAGGAAGCUUGCUCUGAGGAAUCAUUUGGAAUACUUAGUGGCGGACGGGUGAGUAACGCGUGGGUAACCUGCCCUAUACAGGGGGAUAACAGCUGGAAACGGCUGUUAAUACCGCAUAAGCGCACAGUAUCGCAUGGUACAGUGUGAAAAAACUCCGGUGGUAUAGGAUGGACCCGCGUCUGAUUAGCUAGUUGGCGGGGUAACGGCCCACCAAGGCGACGAUCAGUAGCCGGCCUGAGAGGGUGUACGGCCACAUUGGGACUGAGACACGGCCCAAACUCCUACGGGAGGCAGCAGUGGGGAAUAUUGCACAAUGGGGGAAACCCUGAUGCAGCCGACGCCGCGUGAGUGAGGAAGUAUUUCGGUAUGUAAAACUCUAUCAGCAGGGAAGAUAAUGACGGUACCUGACUAAGAAGCUCCGGCUAAAUACGUGCCAGCAGCCGC